GGCGGCGUGCCUAAUACAUGCAAGUCGAGCGGAGCAUGAAUGGAAGCUUGCUUUCAUUCAUACUUAGCGGCGGACGGGUGAGUAACACGUAGGCAACCUGCCCUCAAGACUGGGAUAACUACCGGAAACGGUAGCUAAUACCGGAUAAUUUCUUUGUUCUCCUGAAGAGAGAAUGAAAGGCGGAGCAAUCUGCCACUUGGGGAUGGGCCUGCGGCGCAUUAGCUAGUUGGUGGGGUAACGGCUCACCAAGGCGACGAUGCGUAGCCGACCUGAGAGGGUGAACGGCCACACUGGGACUGAGACACGGCCCAGACUCCUACGGGAGGCAGCAGUAGGGAAUCUUCCGCAAUGGGCGAAAGCCUGACGGAGCAACGCCGCGUGAGUGAUGAAGGUUUUCGGAUCGUAAAGCUCUGUUGCCAGGGAAGAACGUCCGGUAGAGUAACUGCUACCGGAGUGACGGUACCUGAGAAGAAAGCCCCGGCUAACUA
RNAcentral lists this ribosomal RNA (488 nucleotides) under Paenibacillaceae bacterium CL4.27. RNAcentral's name for it is "bacterial SSU rRNA". It matches the Rfam family "Bacterial small subunit ribosomal RNA", at positions 38 to 503 of the family's 1533-position model. The record is from RNAcentral. Lineage: Bacteria; Bacillati; Bacillota; Bacilli; Caryophanales; Paenibacillaceae.